This 274-nucleotide ribosomal RNA is filed under the name uncultured bacterium. RNAcentral's name for it is "partial 16S ribosomal RNA". It matches the Rfam family "Bacterial small subunit ribosomal RNA", at positions 523 to 796 of the family's 1533-position model. The record is from RNAcentral.
CGACAGAGGUGGCAAGCGUUGUUCGGAUUUACUGGGCUUAAAGGGCGUGUAGGCGUCCUGGUAAGUCAGAUGUGGAAGCCUUGGGCUCAACCCAAGAAUUGCAUUUGAUACUGCCGGGAUUGAGUCGUGCAUGGGAGGGCGGAAUUCCUGGUGUAGCGGUGAAAUGCGUAGAUAUCAGGAGGAAGGCCGGUGGCGAAGGUGGCCCUCUGGGCAAUGACUGACGCUGAGGCGCGAAAGCGUGGGGAGCAAACAGGAUUAGAAACCCUAGUAGUCC